Molecule: ribosomal RNA, 467 nt
Filed under: uncultured bacterium
Lineage: Bacteria
Description: partial 16S ribosomal RNA
Rfam family: Bacterial small subunit ribosomal RNA
Source: RNAcentral
GACGAACGCUGGCGGCGUGCUUAACACAUGCAAGUCGAACGGAAAGGCUCCAGCUUGCUGGAGUACUCGAGUGGCGAACGGGUGAGUAACACGUGGGUAAUCUGCCCUGCACUCUGGGAUAAGCCUGGGAAACUGGGUCUAAUACUGGAUAUGACCUUUCUCCUUAUGGGGUUUGGUGGAAAGUUUUUCGGUGUAGGAUGAGCCCGCGGCCUAUCAGCUUGUUGGUGGGGUGAUGGCCUACCAAGGCGACGACGGGUAGCCGGCCUGAGAGGGUGAUCGGCCACAUUGGGACUGAGAUACGGCCCAGACUCCUACGGGAGGCAGCAGUGGGGAAUAUUGCACAAUGGGCGGAAGCCUGAUGCAGCGACGCCGCGUGAGGGAUGACGGCCUUCGGGUUGUAAACCUCUUUCGGCAGGGACGAAGCGUAAGUGACGGUACCUGCAGAAGAAGCACCGGCUAACUAUGUG